AUUGAACGCUGGCGGCAGGCCUAACACAUGCAAGUCGAACGAGUGGCGGACGGGUGAGUAAUGUCUGGGACACUGCCUGAUGGAGGGGGAUAACUACUGGAAACGGUAGCUAAUACCGCAUACCAUCGGAUGUGCCCAGAUGGGAUUAGCUAGUAGGUGGUGUAAAGGCUCACCUAGGCGACGAUCCCUAGCUGGUCUGAGAGGAUGACCAGCCACACGGGAACGGAGACAAGGGCCAGACUCCUAAGGGAGGCAGCAGUGGGGAAUAUUGCACAAUGGGAGCAAGCAUGAUGCAGCCAUGCCGCGUGUAUGAAGAAGGCCUUCGGGUUGUAAAGUACUUUCAGCGGGGAGGCGUUACUCGCAGAAGAAGCACCGGCUAACGCCGUGCCAGCAGCCGCGGUAAUUC
This 406-nucleotide ribosomal RNA is filed under the name uncultured bacterium. Its description in RNAcentral is "partial 16S ribosomal RNA". It matches the Rfam family "Bacterial small subunit ribosomal RNA", at positions 30 to 526 of the family's 1533-position model. The record is from RNAcentral.